AUGUGUUCAAAGAAAAAGAAGUUGAUGUCUUUCGUAAAGUAGAAAGUUUUACAAAUGAUUGUGUUGGUGGUAUGUUGGAGCAUUUUGGAAAAGCCGAAAUGAUCUAAUUUUCUCGGGCGAAACAGUUGUGGUGGACGGGAUCUUUGCAGUUGCAUAAGCCAUGACGUUGAUGUGGAUCAAGAGCUAAGAUAGGCGACAAGAAUUAGGUUGGAAGGAGUAGCAUAAUUUUAAUUUUUAAAAUAUGAAAGUGUAACUGUCUAGGUGAGGAGUGUUUUUGGGUGUAAGGUUAUGAUUGUACUUUGACACAAGGCUUACGCAUGGCUUUGACGUGUAAUAUCAGGAUUGUUCUUUUAGCGGCGAAAGGUGGAAGUUGUUAAAGCAAGAGAGAGAGAGAGAGAGAGAGAGAGA
Molecule: long non-coding RNA, 408 nt
Filed under: Helianthus annuus (common sunflower)
Lineage: Eukaryota; Viridiplantae; Streptophyta; Magnoliopsida; Asterales; Asteraceae
Source: RNAcentral